AUAAGGAGCCUUGCCCUCCUUGCUGCCAUUCUCCUGGUGGCCCUGCAGGCUCGGGCGGAGCCACUCCAGGCAAUUGCUGAUGAGGCUACAGCCCAGGAGCAGCCUGGAGCAGAUGAUCAGGAAGUGGUUGAUUCCUUUGCAUGGGAUGAAAGAGCUCCUCUUCAGGUUUCAGGCUCAAGGAGGGGCUUGACCUGCACCUGCAGAUGAGAUUCCUACAGUCCUGGAGAACACCGUAGAGGGACUUGCAGUGCUCCUGGAGUACGCUACCCAUACUGCUUCAGCUGA
This is an RNA transcript of Homo sapiens (human), 285 nucleotides long. It is a transcript of the gene named defensin alpha 8, pseudogene, with no coding region annotated. Lineage: Eukaryota; Metazoa; Chordata; Mammalia; Primates; Hominidae. The transcript has 2 exons. The record is from RefSeq and is marked validated.